AAAAAAAUUAAAUUAAAUAAAAAAUUAAAAAUAAAUUAAAUCGAACAUUCUUAAAAAAUAAAUGAGACAAACACACAUCAGUAAAAAUGCUUUCUUCACACACACACACGUAUCAGUAAAAAUAAAAAUACUUUCUUCACACACACACACUUAUAUAUACGCACACAUAGUAAAAAUACUUUCCACACACACACACACCAAUAAAAAUACUUUCUUCUCUGGGGUACUCAAACACUGUCUUUUUUGGCUAACUUAAAGCAUCCCUUGCCCUCCGGGGUAGGGUAAGGUUUUCUUCUACUUUUUAGGAUAUGGCUUACCUCCUCAUCCCUCGGUAAGGUCGUGUAUAGUUUUGUGCUCGAUAUUUAUGAGUUGUAGUUUGAGCGAACGUGCAAGUCUAUCGAGUUGUGCCAUUUGCAUUUAAUUUUAGUGAUUUGAGCAGACGAGCAAUUCAGGAGUAGGUUCUAAGAAUGGUGCACAAGUCCUUUGUUGGUUUUUCUUUGGUCAAGGGAGAUUGAGAUAUCAUGGUCUCUCUCUCCUCUCUCAUGUGUUGAUGGUGGUUAUCUGAGCCUAGUGACUUGUGGGAGAAAUUGAUUCGCUCUUGGGUUGUGGGUUUGGUCCUUAUAUUUGAAGGAUUUUGCCCUAAGCUUGCAAAGUUUUGACAGAAUAAGCCUUAUUUAUCCAGCCUUCAAUGAUCCCUCGACUAAUUCAUCAAUUUUUGACUUGUAGAAUGAGGGGAAACUAUCUUUUAAGCUAUUGCUGUCCCUAGUUGCGGCAAUUGUAUGUUAUCUAGAUUUUUGAAUUCAAGGGGAGUAACAGGUUAAACUGGAAUAUGUCCUUUUGUAUGAUUAUGUUAAUUAAAUGGAGCAUUAAUAUUUAUGGGGAGAUAACCAUCUGUUUGGAAGUGCAUGGAAUUUCUUUUGAAACUUGAUUCCAAAUGGUGUUGCACUACAACUGUUCAUUUUCUAUUACUCCUUACUCAGUUAGUCCUGAAACCUGUAAUCAAGAACUGAAGGAAUAAAGCUUGUUAUCUGUCCUUUCUCUGAGGAUUCCAUCUGUUGCUUCUUAGUUUGUUUCUGAUCACUACUACUUUUGUGCUUCUCAGUCCUCUCUGAAAUGAAGAGAUUAUUAAACAAAAUAUAAUAAGAGUGAAGCUUGUAAUUAGCUCUGAGGCUAAUUGAGGAAGCCCAUAACUUCUGCAUAGCACCAUAUAAUGUAGUGUUUGAAGAAGCUUGCUCCAUCUUGACAAUAUGUUGGAAAAUUCACAUGUUUAGCCAUUCAGCUUAGUCUGCCAUUUCCUUAAAUGGGCAUGCUUAUCUCUUAAACAGAAAGAAUAGUGCCUAUUGCUAUAAGAUUUUACCCUUGGGAAAUCAGGAUCUUUUGAUAAAUGGUCUCGUUGAAAUUCUCUCCCCAAAUGCUUCUUGAAAUUUUUUGUUCUUUCUUUUAAAGUCUGCUGUAAUAUCCAAUUAACUGUGGGCAGCUUGGUGAGGUUUUGGCAUGCAAGAAUUUACCAUAUUUUCUGCUGUGCAUUUGCACACCUUUUUAGUCAUCAGCAGAAUUUGAAGUUUUGUCCUGUAAUGAACUUCUAUACUUGUUAGGACUUAUCCAUCUUUACAGAAUGAACCAACUAAUUCUGCAUGGAUAUACUGGGUCAAUAGUUGGAAAAAUACGAAAAUUAAAUUUAGUCUUUUUGCAUACCACUGUAUGUUAAACUAAUUAUCUUAAACAUUGCAUGAU
Molecule: unclassified non-coding RNA, 1734 nt
Filed under: Hevea brasiliensis (rubber tree)
Lineage: Eukaryota; Viridiplantae; Streptophyta; Magnoliopsida; Malpighiales; Euphorbiaceae
Source: RNAcentral